UUUGACCUCGGAUCAGGUAGGAAUACCCGCUGAACUUAAGCAUAUCAAUAAAGCGGAG
Molecule: ribosomal RNA, 58 nt
Filed under: Diaporthe sp. 6 PRJ-2013
Lineage: Eukaryota; Fungi; Ascomycota; Sordariomycetes; Diaporthales; Diaporthaceae
Description: partial 28S ribosomal RNA
Source: RNAcentral